GGUUCAGAGAUGUGGUGUAUGUGGCUGAAUCAGGAGCCAAUGGGGUGAAGCUACCAUCUGUAGGAUUAUGACUGACCCUCUAAGUCAGA
This 89-nucleotide ribosomal RNA is filed under the name Ailuropoda melanoleuca (giant panda). RNAcentral's name for it is "similar to 28S ribosomal RNA". The record is from RNAcentral. Lineage: Eukaryota; Metazoa; Chordata; Mammalia; Carnivora; Ursidae.